GAUGAACGCUGGCGGCGUGCCUAAUACAUGCAAGUCGAGCGAACAGAUGAGGAGCUUGCUCCUCUGACGUUAGCGGCGGACGGGUGAGUAACACGUGGAUAACCUACCUAUAAGACUGGGAUAACUUCGGGAAACCGGAGCUAAUACCGGAUAAUAUAUUGAACCGCAUGGUUCAAUAGUGAAAGACGGUUUUGCUGUCACUUAUAGAUGGAUCCGCGCCGCAUUAGCUAGUUGGUAAGGUAACGGCUUACCAAGGCAACGAUGCGUAGCCGACCUGAGAGGGUGAUCGGCCACACUGGAACUGAGACACGGUCCAGACUCCUACGGGAGGCAGCAGUAGGGAAUCUUCCGCAAUGGGCGAAAGCCUGACGGAGCAACGCCGCGUGAGUGAUGAAGGUCUUCGGAUCGUAAAACUCUGUUAUUAGGGAAGAACAAAUGUGUAAGUAACUAUGCACGGCUUGACGGUACCUAAUCAGAAAGCAACGGCUAACUACGUG
This 497-nucleotide ribosomal RNA is filed under the name uncultured bacterium. RNAcentral describes it as "partial 16S ribosomal RNA". It matches the Rfam family "Bacterial small subunit ribosomal RNA", at positions 28 to 507 of the family's 1533-position model. The record is from RNAcentral.